CUUCUUUCCGCUCCAACGCACGGAGGGUGAGGUCGGUACGCGGUGGUGGCGUCACGGCGCCAGCUCCUCCCGACGCCGAGAUUGGGUAACUCAAGGCGUCCCUGGAGUACACUGAGGAUAAGUGUUUGAGAAAUGCUGUCUGAAGGAAUGAAGUCAGUCUAUGACAACGUCUCUCUGCCGUGAAUCAUUCCUGCAGAUGAAAAAGUGUGACUUGGCAGCUGCCAAUCUAAAAAGGGCCCUCAGGAUCGCCCACAAUGCCCAGCUUAGCUUCUUGACAAACACCUUAAUGGCGCAGCAUUGCCUGUUGGCUGCCAUCGGCUCUUGAGUGGGUGGAGCCGGCGCACGUGCAGGAGCCACCAGUGGUGCAGGAGCAGUUGGGGUCCAUUUCAAGCCGCGGUAAGGCUGGAGAUCUCAAGCGAUAAUGGAGAGACAGCAAGGCGCACGUGGACGGCGUGUUCACCAAUUACCAAACUUUUUGACCUGAGCAACUAGAAGAAUGGAGUUGCCAUUAUUUGACACAAAGAAGACUGCAGGAGGGACAGGUUUGAGUAGAAAUAUGAAGAGCUCAC
Molecule: long non-coding RNA, 569 nt
Filed under: Homo sapiens (human)
Lineage: Eukaryota; Metazoa; Chordata; Mammalia; Primates; Hominidae
Description: non-protein coding lnc-MMP24OS-73:7
Source: RNAcentral